This 825-nucleotide ribosomal RNA is filed under the name uncultured bacterium. Its description in RNAcentral is "bacterial SSU rRNA". It matches the Rfam family "Bacterial small subunit ribosomal RNA", at positions 8 to 803 of the family's 1533-position model. The record is from RNAcentral.
AGAGUUUGAUCCUGGCUCAAAACGACCUCUGGCAGCGUGGAUUAGGCAUGCAAGUCGAACGGGAUUGACCUGAUAGCAAUAUUGGGUCAUGAGAGUGGCGAAAGGGCGAGUAAUGCAUGGGCAAUCUAUCCUUGAGUUCGGGAUAACUCAGCGAAAGUUGAGCUAAUACCGGAUGUGGUUACGGCGGGGCAUCCUGCUGUUACUAAAGAUGGGGCUCCUUCGGGACCUGUCGCUCUUGGCGGAGCCCGUGUGCCAUCAGCUUGUUGGUGAGGUAACGGCUCACCAAGGCUUACGGCUAGCUGGUCUGAGAGGACGAUCAGCCGCACUGGGACUGAGACACUGCCCAGACUCCUACGGGAGGCUGCAGUCGAGGAUCAUUCGCAAUGCGCGAAAGCGUGACGAUGCGACGCUGCGUGGAGGACGACGGCCUUCGGGUUGUAAACUCCUGUCAUGGGGGAAAAAUGUAUUGGAUGUUAACAGCAUCUGGUAUUUGAUGGUACCCCAAGAGGAAGCCACGGCUAACUCUGUGCCAGCAGCCGCGGUAAUACAGAGGUGGCGAGCGUUGUUCGGAUUUACUGGGCGUAAAGGGCGCGUAGGCGGCAUUGUGUGUCGUAUGUGAAAUCCCCGGGCUCAACCCGGGAAGUGCAUGCGAAACUGCAGUGCUAGAGCAGAGGAGGGGAGAGCGGAAUUCAUGGUGUAGCGGUGAAAUGCGUUGAUAUCAUGGGGAACACCCGAGGCGAAGGCGGCUCUCUGGAAUCUUGCUGACGCUCAGGCGCGAAAGCCGGGGGAGCAAACAGGAUUAGAUACCCUGGUAGUCCCGGCCCU